Molecule: ribosomal RNA, 468 nt
Filed under: uncultured bacterium
Lineage: Bacteria
Description: partial 16S ribosomal RNA
Rfam family: Bacterial small subunit ribosomal RNA
Source: RNAcentral
GACGAACGCUGGCGGCGUGCUUAACACAUGCAAGUCGAACGGAAAGGCCCUGCUUUUGUGGGGUGCUCGAGUGGCGAACGGGUGAGUAACACGUGAGUAACCUGCCCUUGACUUUGGGAUAACUUCAGGAAACUGGGGCUAAUACCGGAUAGGAGCUCCUGCUGCAUGGUGGGGGUUGGAAAGUUUCGGCGGUUGGGGAUGGACUCGCGGCUUAUCAGCUUGUUGGUGGGGUAGUGGCUUACCAAGGCUUUGACGGGUAGCCGGCCUGAGAGGGUGACCGGCCACAUUGGGACUGAGAUACGGCCCAGACUCCUACGGGCGGCAGCAGUGGGGAAUAUUGCACAAUGGGCGGAGGCCUGAUGCAGCAACGCCGCGUGCGGGAUGACGGCCUUCGGGUUGUAGGCCGCUUUCGCCUGUGACGAAGCGUGAGUGACGGUAAUGGGUAAAGAAGCACCGGCUAACUACGUG